AACUCCCGUAGAUUUUUCAGAAGUAUCAUGUAAUCCUCAAGUUCUCAUUUACAAUUCAACCUUUCUGAUAUUAUUUAUGAUCCUUCCUUGAAAACCACAUGGUGUUUCUUCAUGUGGUACGUUGAGUCUUAAACCACCAAAUAAAUCACGUGACUACCCGUAUAAUGCAAAAUUCUGUGUAGUGGAACAGAGACAGUUUUUACAAGGAAAUAGAUCACUGUGUACCGGGGCCGGAGUACCACAAUGAUAUAAACCGCAUAGGGACCUGUACAAAAACCAAAAGAGGGAAAAAAGUUUUGGAAGUAAAUGUACAUCUGGAUCCCCUCACAAACUUGCACCCAUGGAUAAUUAGGACUAAUAUCUGUUUUUUUAUCAACUGUUUUUUACAACACUUUUGAACACCAUGAGGAAAGAGUGAGUUAUUGGAAUAAGUCUCAGCAAUGUGAGGACAGAUAAGCUUAUAUUUGGACCAGGGACAACUCUCACAGUUAUACCAAAUGUGCCAAACACUUCUGUCUCUCAAGUCAUUGUGAUGAAAUCAAAGAAGCUCAAAGAAGGUGGCAGCUCUGGGAAAGCAGCUUGUUUGGCAAGGAACUCCCUCACAAAGAACAUCAGCUUGGAGAUGCCCUCGGAGGAGGUGGUAUAUAAACAGAGCACAUCCAUUCUGACAUCAGAGGGGUUGUACAAUGCAAUCAAAGUGGUCAAUGUGACUAAAGACACAGAGGUGACCUGUACGGCCAAAUUUGACAACAGCACGAUAACAACAGAGCCAGAAGAGGAGGCUGAAGAACCAGUAACAGGGCCCAGUGACAGGGUUUGCAACAGCACAGACCCCUCAGCACAAGAUGCUGGAGGGCAGAGAGUGAACAUGCUGUCCAUGGCUGUGUUGGGUUUGAGAGUCCUGCUGGCAAAGAGCAUCGCCGUCAAUACCCUCAUGAGUAUCAAGUUGUUUCUUUUCUGAGGUAAGGGAGCACACAGCUAUCAAACC
Molecule: long non-coding RNA, 988 nt
Filed under: Cyanoderma ruficeps (rufous-capped babbler)
Lineage: Eukaryota; Metazoa; Chordata; Aves; Passeriformes; Timaliidae
Description: lncRNA (ENSCRFG00000004267.1)
Source: RNAcentral